RNAcentral lists this ribosomal RNA (1486 nucleotides) under Candidatus Mancarchaeum acidiphilum. RNAcentral describes it as "bacterial SSU rRNA". It matches the Rfam family "Archaeal small subunit ribosomal RNA". The record is from RNAcentral. Lineage: Archaea; Nanobdellati; Microcaldota.
AUUCCAGUCGAUGCUGCUGGAGGACACUGCUAUCAGAUUUCGACAGCCAUGCAAGUUAGCUCAAAGGCAUCUUUGGGCAGCGUACGGCUCAGUAACACGUAGUUAAUCUAACGUAAAGAAAGGGAUAACCUUGGGAAACUGAGGCUAAUACCUUAUAGAUUAAGACAUCUGGAAGGAGUUUUAAUCGAAAGGAGCAUGAAUUGGAGUGUUUCCGCUUUACGAUGAGACUGCGGCGGAUCAGGCAGAUGGCGGGGUAAUGGCCCACCAUACCUAUAACCCGUAGGGGAUGUGGGAGCAUAAGCCCCGAGAAGGGCACUGAGGCAAGGGCCCUAGCGCUACGGCGUGCAGCAGGCGCGCAAACUCCACAAUGUGCGAAAGCAUGAUGGGGGGAAUCUGAGUGGUUUACGAAAGUAAAUCUUUUGCCAAGUAUAGCAAGCUUGGCGAAUAAGUGCUGGGCAAGACGAGUGGCAGCCGCCACGGUAAUACUCGCAGCACAAGUGGUGUCCACGAUUAUUGGGCUUAAAGCGCUCGUAGCCGGUCAAUGCCGUCUUAUGUGAAAUAUUGGUGCUCAACAUCAAUGCGUGCAUGAGAUACCCAUUGACUAGGGAGCGGGUGAGGUCAAGAGUACUUAUAGGGGAGGGGUAAAAUCCUGUAAUCCUAUAAGGACUAACGGUGGCGAAGGCGCUUGACCAGAACGCAUCCGACGGUGAGGAGCGAAGGCUAGGAGAACGAAUCGGAUCAGAUACCCGAGUAGCCCUAGCAGUAAAUUAUGCAGACUCUGGUGUUGCAAGUAUCUUGAAUGCUUGCAGUACCGUAGCAAAAGCGUUAAGUCUGCCGCCUGGGGAGUACGGUCGCAAGAUUAAAACUUAAAGCAAUUGGCGGGGGAGCACACAAGGGGUGGAUGCUACGGUUUAAUUGAAUCCAACGUCGGAAAUAUUACCGGGAGCGACGGCAGUGUGAAGGCCAGACUAAAGAUCUUACCUGACAAGCCGAGAGGUAGUGCAUGGCGACCGUCAGCUCGUGGUGUGAACUGUCCGGUUAAGUCCGGUAACGAGCGAGACUUUUGUCAACAGUUGCCACCAGCUUAGAGAUAGGUUGAGCACUCUGUUGAGACCGCCUCUGUUUAAAGAGGAGGAAGGAGAGAGCGACGAUACGUCAGUAUGCUCCGAAUCUCCCGGGCUACACGCGGCAUACAAAGAUCAGCACAAUGGGACGCAAUGCCGAAAGGCAAAGCAAAUCCCCUAAAACUGACCUAAGUUCGGAUUGAGGGCUGCAACUCGCCCUCAUGAAGAUGGAAUCCCUAGUAAUCGCUUGUCACUAUCGAGCGGUGAAUUUGUCCCUGCUCCUUGCACACACUGCCUACCAAGUCACCCAAGUGAGGUUUUAACGAGGCGAUGCCAUUAGGCAUUUUCGAGUUAGGGUUUCGCGAGGAGGGCUAAGGUAUAACAAGGUAUCCGUAGGGGAACCUGCGGAUAGAUCACCUCAA